GACGUAGGGGGCGAGCGUUGUCCGGAUUUAUUGGGCGUAAAGCGUGCGUAGGCGGCUGCGCAAGUCGGUUGUGAAACCCCGGGGCUCAACCCCGGAACUGCAUCCGAUACUGCGUGGCUAGAGGUAGGUAGGGGAGAUCGGAAUUCCUGGUGUAGCGGUGAAAUGCGCAGAUAUCAGGAGGAACACCGAUGGCGAAGGCAGCUCACUGGGACGGUACUGACGCUGAGACGCGAAAGCGUGGGGAGCAAACAGG
RNAcentral lists this ribosomal RNA (253 nucleotides) under uncultured bacterium. RNAcentral describes it as "partial 16S ribosomal RNA". It matches the Rfam family "Bacterial small subunit ribosomal RNA", at positions 524 to 776 of the family's 1533-position model. The record is from RNAcentral.